Molecule: small nucleolar RNA, 106 nt
Filed under: Sorghum bicolor (sorghum)
Lineage: Eukaryota; Viridiplantae; Streptophyta; Magnoliopsida; Poales; Poaceae
Description: Plant small nucleolar RNA R71
Rfam family: Plant small nucleolar RNA R71
About the family: R71 is a member of the C/D box family of snoRNAs containing the C (UGAUGA) and D (CUGA) box motifs. Multiple nearly identical copies of this snoRNA have been identified in Arabidopsis, and it is thought to function as a 2'-O-ribose methylation guide for 18S ribosomal RNA.
Source: Rfam by way of RNAcentral
AUUCCAUGAUUGGGACAUUGUAGGAUGUAGUCUUGGAAGCAUCUCAUGCUUCUGGAACGGAUUCAUCAUGUUGUUGCUAAAAACUUGUAAUUUUCCCACGGAGAGC